This 29-nucleotide non-coding RNA is filed under the name Rattus norvegicus (Norway rat). Lineage: Eukaryota; Metazoa; Chordata; Mammalia; Rodentia; Muridae. The record is from RNAcentral.
UACAAAUUCGGGAAUUUUCUUGGUGCUAU